This is a long non-coding RNA of Dendronephthya gigantea, 648 nucleotides long. RefSeq lists it as uncharacterized. NCBI's taxonomy places the organism in Eukaryota, Metazoa, Cnidaria, Anthozoa, Malacalcyonacea, Nephtheidae. The record is from RefSeq and is a predicted model, not a curated record. The transcript has 4 exons.
GAACACUUUGGGAUAAUGCAGUGACGCUUGUUGAAAUAUCCCUGUAUAUCCGCAAUAUCGUGAUUCAAAUUGAUCAACAUUUGUACACGAACGUAGUACCAGUCUUUCUUCGAUUUCGCGCCAGUCGAGUUUGUUUAGCUCAGUUGGAUACUGAAGAAGAAUUUUAUAUCACCAAGUGAAACCUCGGAAUAUUUGCUGCUCUUGAUCCUCGUCUGCUGAUUUUUUGGGUUGUUUUAUAAAGAUUUAAACUUGCCAGUUGUAUCGCCGCAAAAAGUAUUCGACUAUACGCUGUUUGAUCGAUAUUCAAGCUAGAGGAUUCUUUUCUAAUAUCCAAGUCCAUUGGCAAUGUACCUGUUGGUACGAGUUGUGGUGAUUCUGAUUCUGGAUAUGCGGCCGGAUAUUGUUCUAUGUCAUCAGUUGCAUGGUCAUUUUCAACAGCACCCGAAUUUCUGACACAAACACCACAAGCGACAGAAUUGUGUCUUUUGUACAAGUACCUUCCACUGACACCGACCAACACCACAAGCGACAGAAUCCCAAAUGUAACACCAAUGGGUAUGACAACGUCUUUAUCGCUGGAUUUUGUAUCUUCUAAAACAUAACCAAAUCGGCUUAAAUGGACGGCUUAUCAACUUAAACGGACGGCUU